This 465-nucleotide ribosomal RNA is filed under the name uncultured bacterium. Its description in RNAcentral is "partial 16S ribosomal RNA". It matches the Rfam family "Bacterial small subunit ribosomal RNA", at positions 339 to 795 of the family's 1533-position model. The record is from RNAcentral.
CUACGGGGUGCUGCAGUGGGGAAUAUUGGACAGUGGGGGAAACCCUGAUCCAGCAAUGCCGCGUGUGUGAAGAAGGCCUGCGGGUUGUAAAGCACUUUCGGUUGGGAGGACUGCUUCUAGCACUAAUAUUGUUGGAAGUUGACGUUACCUUCAGAAGAAGCACCGGCUAACUCCGUGCCAGCAGCCGCGGUAGUACGGAGGGUGCAAGCGUUAAUCGGAAUUACUGGGCGUAAAGCGCGCGUAGGCGGCUAGAUCAGUCGGGUGUGAAAGCCCCGGGCUUAACCUGGGAACUGCAUCCGAUACUGUCUAGCUUGAGUACAGGAGAGGAGAGUGGAAUUCCACAUGUAGCGGUGAAAUGCGUAGAUAUGUGGAGGAACACCAAUGGCGAAGGCAGCUCUCUGGCCUGAUACUGACGCUGAGGUGCGAAAGCGUGGGGAGCAAACAGGAUUAGAUACCCUAGUAGUC